GGGAGUAAAUAGAAGUAAUAGAAGCAUUUAUAGAAGGUAUAUAGGGCAAAUAUGGGUGUAUAAUGCCGUAUAUAGUUGAAUAAGAUGGAUUUGGAAAGUAAAUAGAGGUAAUAGAACCAUUUAUAGAAGGUAUUAAGGGCAAAUAUGGGUGUAUAAAGGCGUAACUAGUUGAAUAAGAUGGAUUUGGGGAGUAAAUAGAGGUAAUAGAAGCAUUAAUUGAAGGUAUAUAGGGCAAAUAUGGGUGUAUAAUGGCAUAUAUAGUGGAAUAAGAUGGAUUUGGGUAGUAAAUAGAGGAAAUAGAAGCAUUUAUGGAAGGUAUAUAGGGCAAAUAUGGGUGUAUAAUGCCGUAUAUAGUUGAAUAAGAUGGAUUUGGGGAGUAAAUAGAGGUAAAAGAAACAUUUAUGGAAGGUAUAUUGGGCAAAUAUGGGUGUAUAAUGAUGUAUUUAGUUGAAUUAGAUAGAUUUGGGGAGUAAAUAGAGAAAAUAGAAGCAUUAAUAGAAGGUAUAUAGGGCAAAUAUGGGUGUACAAUGUCAUAUAUAGUUGAAAAAGAUGGAUUUGGGGAGUAAAUAGAAGUAAUAAAAGCAUUUAUAGAAGGUAUAUAGGGCAAAU
Molecule: long non-coding RNA, 609 nt
Organism: Drosophila innubila
Lineage: Eukaryota; Metazoa; Arthropoda; Insecta; Diptera; Drosophilidae
Exons: 5
Source: RefSeq, a predicted model, not a curated record